GGGGAUGUAGCUCAGAUGGUAGAGCGCUCGCUUAGCAUGCGAGAGGUACUGUGGGAUCGAUACCCAGCUUCUCCA
RNAcentral lists this transfer RNA (75 nucleotides) under Pythium insidiosum. Its description in RNAcentral is "tRNA-Ala". It matches the Rfam family "tRNA". From Rfam's summary of the family: Transfer RNA (tRNA) molecules are approximately 80 nucleotides in length. Their secondary structure includes four short double-helical elements and three loops (D, anti-codon, and T loops). Further hydrogen bonds mediate the characteristic L-shaped molecular structure. tRNAs have two regions of fundamental functional importance: the anti-codon, which is responsible for specific mRNA codon recognition, and the 3' end, to which the tRNAs corresponding amino acid is attached (by aminoacyl-tRNA synthetases). tRNAs cope with the degeneracy of the genetic code in two manners: having more than one tRNA (with a specific anti-codon) for a particular amino acid; and 'wobble' base-pairing, i.e. permitting non-standard base-pairing at the 3rd anti-codon position. Lineage: Eukaryota; Oomycota; Peronosporomycetes; Pythiales; Pythiaceae. The record is from RNAcentral.